Molecule: long non-coding RNA, 455 nt
Organism: Oncorhynchus gorbuscha (pink salmon)
Lineage: Eukaryota; Metazoa; Chordata; Actinopteri; Salmoniformes; Salmonidae
Exons: 5
Source: RefSeq, a predicted model, not a curated record
AUUCAUUGUAAGCUUGUUGCAUGGGACCUGAGGUUUUUGAUAUAGAAAAGAAGGCCUGCCACUACAUUAAAGAGACUGGAGAAUGGGAGCUGCUGGACGACCCGUCUCAAAGUGACCUCUGCAAGUGCUGUGACUCGAGUUGCAAGCCUCGGUUGAAGAGGGGUGUGGAUUCAGAACCCCAGGGCCUGGUUCAAAACUCUGUUCUUGGACCGCUCACAAUAGUGGAAAACUCUGAAACCCGGAUCCCCAGUGAAUUUGUCAAAUAUCCUACUGUAGAACAAGUUGACUGGUUGGUGUAAUGGUCUGGAACACUUUGCUUGUCAGGGAUGGCUGUCUUUUCUGUCUCUACAGCCAUCUAAUUGUAGGUGGCCUGAAGGGUGCAUCACUUUCCACUAUCCCCAGUAUGGAUAUGAAGUCCUUUGACUUGAGCACGUUUCAAUAAAAUGAAUACUUUA